This 380-nucleotide ribosomal RNA is filed under the name uncultured eukaryote. Its description in RNAcentral is "partial 18S ribosomal RNA". It matches the Rfam family "Eukaryotic small subunit ribosomal RNA", at positions 592 to 976 of the family's 1831-position model. The record is from RNAcentral.
CAAUAGCGUAUAUUAAAGUUGUUGCAGUUAAAAAGCUCGUAGUUGGAUUUGUGGCGUACGGUGUGUUCCGGGCACUUGUUGUCUGAGUAACCUGCUGUUGCCAUCCUUGGGUGGAACCUGUGUGGCAUUAGGUUGUCGUGCAGGGGAUGCCCACCAUUUACUGUGAAAAAAUUAGAGUGUUCAAAGCAGGCUUAUGCCGUUGAAUAUAUUAGCAUGGAAUAAUGAGAUAGGACUUUUUUGCUAUUUUGUUGGUUUGCGCAAAGAGGUAAUGAUUAAUAGGGACAGUUGGGGGUAUUCGUAUUCCAUUGUCAGAGGUGAAAUUCUUGGAUUUUUGGAAGACGAACUACUGCGAAAGCAUUUACCAAGGAUGUUUUCAUUAA